RNAcentral lists this long non-coding RNA (669 nucleotides) under Chloebia gouldiae (Gouldian finch). Its description in RNAcentral is "Erythrura gouldiae (Gouldian finch) lncRNA (ENSEGOG00005000257.1)". The record is from RNAcentral. Lineage: Eukaryota; Metazoa; Chordata; Aves; Passeriformes; Passeridae.
GUUCAGGAGAGGAGGAGUACAUCUGCCUGGCCUUUAGGAAGAGAGCAAAUGAAUUCAGAAGGCAGAUGGAGGAUUUAUUUCACAAAGCAUCAAGAAGAAACAAAAUCAGAAUUUGAAAAGUUGUCAGAAAAUAUAUCCAAGAUGGUUAUGGUUUUUUAUGGAAGCAACGGCAAGUCAAAUCCAGUUACCAUGGAAAACAAAGUGGAACAUCAGACUGAGAAGCAAAUAACAUAUGAUAUACAUUUGCCAUCUGAUUUGGGAAUGCUUUAUAAAGUGCGGCUUGGUCUCCAGAGUUUGGAAAACAACUUUUCCCAGUUGUCUCUUCGUCACUUUAAAAUACAGAAUACAUCAACCCUGGAUACCUUUAGUCUCACCAUAAAUAAAACACUUCCUCUUUCUCCUAAUGGAGACAGAUGGAUUGAAUUCCCUAUAGAGUGGCCAUUAAAAGAAGCAUUUUCUGUGGUUACAUAUCAUCUAACAGUAUUUUCAAGAAAUAUUUUGAAUGAGAGAAAUUUAGUACAUAUGACUGCAUGCAUAUAUGGUACUCAUGGUGACACAGGAGACAGAUCCCUCCUCCAGUCAUUGCAGAAUGUACAUCAGGGAGAGAAAAAUGAGGUACUCUGUCAUAAAGUAUUUUAAAAUUUACCAUUUAAUCCAUUCGUAUACUUC